GAUGAACGCUGGCGGCGUGCCUAAUACAUGCAAGUCGAGCGAACAGACGAGGAGCUUGCUCCUCUGACGUUAGCGGCGGACGGGUGAGUAACACGUGGAUAACCUACCUAUAAGACUGGGAUAACUUCGGGAAACCGGAGCUAAUACCGGAUAAUAUAUUGAACCGCAUGGUUCAAUAGUUAAAGACGGUUUUGCUGUCACUUAUAGAUGGAUCCGCGCCGCAUUAGCUAGUUGGUAAGGUAACGGUUUACCAAGGCAACGAUGCGUAGCCGACCUGAGAGGGUGAUCGGACACACUGGAACUGAGACACGGUCCAGACUCCUACGGGAGGCAGCAGUAGGGAAUCUUCCGCAAUGGGCGAAGGCCUGACGGAGCAACGCCGCGUGAGUGAUGAAGGUAUUCGGAUCGUAAAACUCUGUUAUUAGGGAAGAACAAAUGUGUAAGUAACUAUGCACGUCUUGACGGUACCUAAUCAGAAAGCCACGGCUAACUACGUG
RNAcentral lists this ribosomal RNA (497 nucleotides) under uncultured bacterium. RNAcentral's name for it is "partial 16S ribosomal RNA". It matches the Rfam family "Bacterial small subunit ribosomal RNA", at positions 28 to 507 of the family's 1533-position model. The record is from RNAcentral.